RNAcentral lists this ribosomal RNA (467 nucleotides) under uncultured bacterium. RNAcentral describes it as "partial 16S ribosomal RNA". It matches the Rfam family "Bacterial small subunit ribosomal RNA", at positions 29 to 507 of the family's 1533-position model. The record is from RNAcentral.
ACGAACGCUGGCGGCGUGCUUAACACCUGCAAGUCGAACGGAAAGGCCCUGCUUUUGUGGGGUGCUCGAGUGGCGAACGGGUGAGUAACACGUGAGUAACCUGCCCUUGACUUUGGAAUAACUUCAGGAAACUGGGGCUAAUACCGGAUAGGAGCUCCUGCUGCAUGGUGGGGGUUGGAAAGUUUCGGCGGUUGGGGAUGGACUCGCGGCUUAUCAGCUUGUUGGUGGGGUAGUGGCUUACCAAGGCUUUGACGGGUAGCCGGCCUGAGAGGGUGACCGGCCACAUUGGGACUGAGAUACGGCCCAGACUCCUACGGGAGGCAGCAGUGGGGAAUAUUGCACAAUGGGCGGAAGCCUGAUGCAGCAACGCCGCGUGCGGGAUGACGGCCUUCGGGUUGUAAACCGCUUUCGCCUGUGACGAAGCGUGAGUGACGGUAAUGGGUAAAGAAGCACCGGCUAACUACGUG